RNAcentral lists this ribosomal RNA (252 nucleotides) under uncultured bacterium. Its description in RNAcentral is "partial 16S ribosomal RNA". It matches the Rfam family "Bacterial small subunit ribosomal RNA", at positions 524 to 776 of the family's 1533-position model. The record is from RNAcentral.
GACAGAGGCCUCGAGCGUUAGGCGGAAUCACUGGGCUUAAAGCGUGUGUAGGCGGAUCGUUAAGUGCCUUGUGAAAUCCCACGGCUUAACUGUGGAACGGCUGGGCAUACUGGCGGUCUUGAGCCAUCUAGGGGCGACUGGAACAAACGGUGGAGCGGUGAAAUGCGUAGAUAUCGUUUGGAACGCCAAUGGUGAAAACAGGUCGCUGGGGAUGCGCUGACGCUGAGACACGAAGCCAGGGGAGCAAACGGG